Molecule: transfer RNA, 90 nt
Filed under: Cellulomonas aerilata
Lineage: Bacteria; Bacillati; Actinomycetota; Actinomycetes; Micrococcales; Cellulomonadaceae
Description: tRNA-Cys
Source: RNAcentral
GGCCCGCGCGGCCGGGCCCGGGGCGGUGUCCGCCGGCAGGGCGGGCAGGAGGUCCGCCGCGGGCGGCUGGUACGGGUCCGGCGCCGGCUU